This is a long non-coding RNA of Cynoglossus semilaevis (tongue sole), 439 nucleotides long. RefSeq lists it as uncharacterized. The transcript has 2 exons. Lineage: Eukaryota; Metazoa; Chordata; Actinopteri; Pleuronectiformes; Cynoglossidae. The record is from RefSeq and is a predicted model, not a curated record.
GCCGCUCCUAAUUACGAGUUAUCACUAAAUGAGAAAUAAUACCCUUCCUCUGCUUCAUCACGUCAAGGCCCCAUGGAUGAGUUGCACAGCCUGGACCCCAGGAGACAGGAGCUCCUGGAGGCCAGGUUUACAGGAGCUGUCAGUGGCAACACAGGAGGCAGCACUGGGAGCACCAGUGGAGGAGCUAAGCAUCAGGAAUGGUUGUCAUUGGGUUUAAUCAACACUUACGGCAGCGGUGUCAUACUGAAAUUCACAGUGGGCCAAAUUAAAAAAAAAACUGGGAUGAAGUCACGGGGGCAAAUGUAAUAUUUAUUAAAAAAAAAAAAAAAUUGAUGGCAGUUGAGCGCAUGUUUUCCCUUCUCUCCAGAUAUGUAAUGUAGAUUUUUUUUUAAUAUGGAACGCUUCAUAUUAGAAACACAUGAGAACUUAAAUUUGAUAU